RNAcentral lists this long non-coding RNA (3035 nucleotides) under Harpegnathos saltator (Jerdon's jumping ant). Its description in RNAcentral is "uncharacterized LOC112589582". The record is from RNAcentral. Lineage: Eukaryota; Metazoa; Arthropoda; Insecta; Hymenoptera; Formicidae.
AAGUAGAUAUCACACAUUUAUAAAUUUUCAAAUACACAGUAGAUAACGGUUACGGUACAAUUUAUAGCUGCUUGCACGCGGGAUAACCGUCCCGCACCUCGGAAUCCCUCGUUCUGCGCUACCUCGCACCUCUCGGCGCCCCUGCCCCCCCUCCCCCCGCUCUCUUUCUCUCUCUUUCUCGUAGAUAAAAGCAGUCACCGACGCACCUCUCUCGCCGACCUUGGCGCGCGCGAUCGCAGUGUUUGUUUACGUGUGCGCGAUCGCAGUGUUUGUUUACGUGCGCGCGAAAAUUACGCCGGCACGCAGUCCCAUUUGAGAAGAAGGCGUAGAAAGUCAGUCGGGACAUCAUUCUUUCGCCGCGUGUGCUUAGUUACGUCCGCGGCUUCUUUCCUUUCCGGAUGGAUUGUGUCUCCUCUCUUGGCAAGAGUGGGAGGGAAAGAGCGGAAGUUCGAUAAGAGGGAAGCAAACGUAUGCUUUCGUCAUCGUCCUCGCAAUGACGUGAGUCGUGGGUGCACGCGAGUGUGUGUGUGUGUGUGUGUGAGAGUGUCUGUAAUAGACACGUCGCGGUGUUGGCGAUUUCGCGAAAAGGAUCGGACGGGAAAAGCGGAUCCACUCGCGAGGACUGGUUAUGGAUGUUCUCCUCCUCCUCCUCCGCCCCUUCAGUCUCUUUUCAUCCUCCGGUGAGUUUUCCGGCUGUUUUUCCUUCGCUUUUUACUGCCAUCUCGCCGCGAUCGUUAACACAGACGCCGCUGAUCAAAGCUGUCGCGCGGCUGCCGAUAUUUCAUCGCGAUACAGCGAGGAGGGAUUGAUUCGCGACCUCGCGGCGAUUAUUUCGUUUUCGCGGCGCUGCCUCGAUUUACAUGUAAACGCCUCGUUCACCCGAUAACGCUCAAUUAAGUUACGCCUUUUAAUUAAUUAUAGCGAGCUGCACGACGGCGCAGGAAGAAGCAACUCGGACCGACAUCGACCUGUGGACCCCCGCUCUUGCUGCGCGGCACACAGCGCCGUUGAGAGCGCACCAAGUCGGUCGAAUACCUCGCGACAUUUCGGUCAAGCUUCGUUCAGCGACAACGAGACUUCGCAGGCAGCGGAAAAUCCGCGCGAAUGAGAAGAGAAAUUCCGCGACGAGAAGGCGAGGAAGCGGAAAGGUGAUAGGAGCGACACGAAGAGGAGAGUGUUUCAGCAGUCCUCCAUGCAAGGACACCCGGCGCAAGCACCGUGGAUUCUUUUCCCACGACGGACCCACACACGGGCGGACACCGCGGGGCAGCGACCGAGAGAGAGAGAGAGAGAGAGAGAGAGAGAAGAGUCGGCUCGUCGAGGCGUCUCCGUUCGGAACAAUGCCAGCCGGACUUGCUCCCGAAGGAGCAACGCGAGAGGGAACCACGGCUGCGGAGGGGACCACAGGACGCGCUGGAUUUCUGCCGUGCACGCAGGCGUGCGCGGCAGGCUCGUCGACGUCCGUUCGACGGAGAAACCGCGCAUUAAAGUGUGCUAAAGAGUGCUCUAGUGAACUUUUAGUCACGGCCACACCCAGCCUCCGUCCGAGGCUGGCAAGGCUGGACCUCUUACACACACCCACCCACACCCGGCACAGCGUGUGCACUUUCGUCCGAACAACUUCACGUAACGGGUGUCCGGAGCGGACACGGACACGCACACGCACGCACGCACGCACGCAUGGAUCGUUCGGAAGAGACGACGGCCGGCCGAAGAGAACGGUUCUCGCUUAACGAAGACGUUCAACGGAGAUCGUAAAAUUAAUCGACGAUAACGAGACGUCCCCGUCGCGGGGACUCGGAGACGAUGAUUAAGUAGGAAUCAGCAUGCGGACGCGAGACAGCGCGUUGUUACCAAGUACCAUGAUGUUAUCCGCGCUACUUUCGAUCCGGCCCGUUGCUAAUCGUUACGCGAGCCUCCUGCGCGAUCGUCUUUAUGAUCGCGCCACCGCCGCCGUCACCACGCGACGGUUUAUUAUUGUCUAUCUUCUCGCGCCCGAUUCUCAUGCGUUACAUCUCUAGAAAGAUUUUAUUUCAUCUGUUAAGGCCAUCGUGCCGACCUGCGUGACGCGGGAGGGGAGGCAAAGGGUUUCCCUCGUGUAAAAUGAGGCGCGUGAAGAAGUCGCGCGAGCGGAAAGCGGCCGCUGACGAUGACGACGACGACGACACAGAUACCAACAACUCUCUCGUUACCGCGAAAUAAAUAUCAAAAAUUGUGACACCGCCGUUAGCGCGUUUGCUCCGCUCGGCGUCGCAGCUCCGACUGUAAUUUACAAUUUACGCAAAUCGACAUUCUACGGAACGUCUAAUUAUACAGCUUUCAACGAGCGGGAAAUUAACGCCCGCCGCGGCGAAGCGGCCUUCCUCUCUCGAUUAACGCACGCGUGUCGUCCUCUUUCUUUUCUCCUCGCGUCCGAUAAAAACCUCCGCAAAGCGCCGCUACACAUUUCCUACGAUGGACGAUUAAUCCCCGUCCCGCGACUGUCAGCGUCCGCGAUCGAUAAUUACGAGGCAUCACCGACGGUCCAGGAAAGUCACGUUGGCUUGCGACAACGGUACGCUGGCUAAUUCACGGUCACGACGAAACCGCGCGCUAUCGCACACCAGCGUCAGCGCGUUCGUAGUCUCGUCCGCGUCGGGCCGCACGGAAUCGUCUUUCUCUACUAGCGGCUAUAAGCUCCUGAAGCCGUGGAGCGCAAACUUCCGUAAGCGCGAGCGUAAAACGCGAAUUGUCGGUGAAACACACUUAGGUACCUAUCAAUGCCACUGAUAGCUUUUAGAUAUACCACGUGAUCGGGUAAAAUAAAUUGUAUUUUUAAAAGCGCGAUGUACAUUAACAAAUAUAUACGAUAAACAAUUUUAUAGCUUGCGAUGUAUUUUAUAACUUUGUAUUUAAGUUUUUUACAUAAAUAACAUUGUAAUUUUAUUACAUCACAUUUGUAAUAUAUCCUACCAAUGGCAUUGAUAGCUUUUGCGUACACCACGUGAUCGGGUAAAAUAGAUUGUAAGUAUUAUAUUUCUAAUGCGCGAUGUAUA